UCAAUUCUCUCUAAUCUCAACAUUUACCUUUAAAUUCCAAUUACUAGAAUGUUCUCACCAUGUCCUAUAUAUUGCUUGGACUUGGUACAGGCGUUAGACAAAUACCCAAAUCAAGGUAUGGUCAAAUUUAUAUAUUCUUUCUCAUAGUCGGAACAUCAUGGCCAAAUAACCGGGUGUGUUCUAGGUGUAUGAGAUGUGUUUGACAUGUGUGUUAAGAGUAAAAUAAAGAGUUGGAGUAACAGAGACCAUACCGUUAGCAUUAUCUUUGAAGAGUGAAAUGGAAGAUUAGAAAACCAUAAAACAACAUAGUUCAUAAUUAAAUUGUAAUAGAAGAUGCCCUUGUUGAAAAAUGGUACUUGUCCUCUAGAACAGAAGGGGAGGGGGUG
RNAcentral lists this unclassified non-coding RNA (386 nucleotides) under Hevea brasiliensis (rubber tree). The record is from RNAcentral. Lineage: Eukaryota; Viridiplantae; Streptophyta; Magnoliopsida; Malpighiales; Euphorbiaceae.